Molecule: non-coding RNA, 29 nt
Filed under: Mus musculus (house mouse)
Lineage: Eukaryota; Metazoa; Chordata; Mammalia; Rodentia; Muridae
Source: RNAcentral
UCAGCCCUGACCCCGGAACUCCUCACACC